This 224-nucleotide non-coding RNA is filed under the name Clostridiales bacterium. RNAcentral's name for it is "T-box". It matches the Rfam family "T-box leader". From Rfam's summary of the family: Uncharged tRNA acts as the effector for transcription antitermination of genes in the T-box leader family. T-boxes are found upstream of many aminoacyl-tRNA synthetase genes and some amino acid biosynthetic genes usually in Gram-positive bacteria. The record is from RNAcentral. Lineage: Bacteria; Bacillati; Bacillota; Clostridia; Eubacteriales.
ACAAAGACGAAGAUGGGGAAAAAGGCAAAAGAUUUCUAUUUUCAGAAAGUCGGCGGAUGAUGUGAGCCGAUAUUGUGCUUUUGCGAAUCAGUCGCCCCGGAGUUGUUUCGCUGAAUCAAGAUUAAGCGAGACCGAGUGAAAGACUUUCGCGUUAAGAAAGAGAGGGCUUUAAAAGCCGAAUGCGGGUGGUACCGCGGAUCUUUUCUUACAGAUUCGCCCCGGAU